Molecule: ribosomal RNA, 424 nt
Filed under: uncultured bacterium
Lineage: Bacteria
Description: bacterial SSU rRNA
Rfam family: Bacterial small subunit ribosomal RNA
Source: RNAcentral
GAGGAAUUUUGCGCAAUGGGGGCAACCCUGACGCAGCAACGCCGCGUGAGUGAUGAAGGCUUUCGGGUCGUAAAGCUCUGUCGGGCGGGAAGAAAUGGUGCAGGUUAAUAUCCUGCAUUUUGACGGUACCGCCAAAGGAAGCACCGGCUAACUCCGUGCCAGCAGCCGCGGUAAUACGGGGGGUGCAAGCGUUAUUCGGAAUUAUUGGGCGUAAAGGGUGCGUAGGCGGUUUUGUAAGUCAGAUGUGAAAUACCGGGGCUUAACUUCGGAACUGCAUUUGAUACUGCGAGACUUGAGUAUGGGAGAGGAGAGCGGAAUUCCUGGUGUAGAGGUGAAAUUCGUAGAUAUCAGGAGGAACACCGGUGGCGAAGGCGGCUCUCUGGACCAAUACUGACGCUGAGGCACGAAGGCGUGGGGAGCAAAC